This 2847-nucleotide ribosomal RNA is filed under the name Clostridium aciditolerans. RNAcentral's name for it is "Bacterial large subunit ribosomal RNA". It matches the Rfam family "Bacterial large subunit ribosomal RNA". The record is from Rfam by way of RNAcentral. Lineage: Bacteria; Bacillati; Bacillota; Clostridia; Eubacteriales; Clostridiaceae.
GGUCAAGCUACAAAGGGCGCAUGGUGAAUGCCUUGGCACCAGUAGUCGAAGAAGGACGUGAUAAGCUGCGAUAAGCUUCGGGUAGGCGCAAAUAGCCUGUGAUCCGAAGAUUUCCGAAUGGGGCAACCCACACUACUAACGUAGUGUACUAUAAACUGAAUUCAUAGGUUUAUAGGGAUAUACCCGGGGAACUGAAACAUCUAAGUACCCGGAGGAAGAGAAAGAAAAAUCGAUUUCCUAAGUAGCGGCGAGCGAAAGGGAAAGAGCCCAAACCAGGAACUUGUUCCUGGGGUUGCGGACAGAUCAUAAACGGAGAGGUAUCUUAAUUGAAGAGAGCUGGAAGGCUCCGCCGUAGAAGGUAACAGCCCUGUAAGUGAAAAGAGAAAACUCUAGAUCUGCUCCAGAGUACCACGAGACACGUGAAACCUUGUGGGAAGCAGGGAGGACCACCUCCCAAGGCUAAAUACUAACUGGUGACCGAUAGUGAAGCAGUACCGUGAGGGAAAGGUGAAAAGAACCCCGGGAGGGGAGUGAAAUAGAACCUGAAACCGUGUGUCCACAACCGGUCAAAGCACUUUUACGUGCGAUGACGUGCUUUUUGUAGAACGAGCCAGCGAGUUACGAUAUGUAGCAAGGUUAAGCACUUAAGGUGCGCAGCCGAAGGGAAACCGAGUCUGAAUAGGGCAAUAAGUUGCAUGUCGUAGACCCGAAACCGGGUGACCUAUCCAUGGACAGGUUGAAGCGGAAGUAAAAUUCCGUGGAGGACCGAACCACGUUGGUGUUGAAAAACCAUGGGAUGAGCUGUGGAUAGCGGAGAAAUUCCAAUCGAACUCGGAGAUAGCUGGUUCUCCUCGAAAUAGCUUUAGGGCUAGCGUUGAGAAUGAGUAAUGGAGGUAGAGCACUGAAUGGGCUAGGGGCUGACAACAGUUACUGAACCCUAUCAAACUCCGAAUGCCAUAUACUUGAAUCUCAGCAGUCAGACUACGAAUGAUAAGAUCCGUGGUCAAAAGGGAAACAGCCCAGAUCAUCAGCUAAGGUCCCAAAGUGUAAGUUAAGUGGAAAAGGAUGUGGGAUUUCUAAGACAACUAGGAUGUUGGCUUAGAAGCAGCCACUCAUUCAAAGAGUGCGUAAUAGCUCACUAGUCGAGAGAUCCUGCGCCGAAGAUGUCCGGGGCUAAAACUUACCACCGAAGCUAUGGGCUCGAAAGAGCGGUAGAGGAGCUUCCUGUAUGGAUUGAAGUCGUACCGAAAGGAGCGGUGGACUGUACAGGAGUGAGUAUGCUGGCAUAAGUAGCGAGAAAUAAGUGAGAAUCUUAUUGGUCGAAAACCUAAGGUUUCCUGAGGAAGGCUCGUCCGCUCAGGGUUAGUCGGGACCUAAGCCGAGGCCGAAAGGCGUAGGUGAUGGACAAUCGGUUGAUAUUCCGAUACCGCCAACUGACGUUAUUACAAAUGGGAUGACGCAGGAGGAUAAGAUGUGCNNNNNNNNNNNNNNNNNNNNNNNNNNNNNNNNNNNNNNNNNNNNNNNNNAUCUGAUUCCACGCUGCCAAGAAAAGUCUCUAUGGAGGAAGUUGGUGCCCGUACCGCAAACCGACACAGGUAGGUGAGGAGAGAAUCCUAAGACCAGCGGAAGAAUUGUUGUCAAGGAACUCGGCAAAUUGACCCCGUAAGUUAGCGAUAAGGGGUGCCUACGCAAGUAGGUCGCAGAGAAUAGGCCCAAGCAACUGUUUAGCAAAAACACAGGUCUCUGCUAAAGCGAAAGCUGAUGUAUAGGGGCUGACGCCUGCCCGGUGCUGGAAGGUUAAGGGGAACACUUAGCGCAAGCGAAGGUGUGAACUUAAGCCCCAGUAAACGGCGGCCGUAACUAUAACGGUCCUAAGGUAGCGAAAUUCCUUGUCGGGUAAGUUCCGACCCGCACGAAUGGCGUAAUGACUUGGGCACUGUCUCGACAACAAAUCCGGCGAAAUUGUAGUGCAAGUGAAGAUGCUUGCUACCCGCGAUUGGACGGAAAGACCCCGUAGAGCUUUACUGUAGCUUAGCAUUGAGUUUCGAUAUUGUCUGUACAGGAUAGGUGGGAGACUGAGAAACAAGGGCGUCAGCCUUUGUGGAGUCAUCCUUGGGAUACCACCCUGACAGUAUUGGGAUUCUAACCGGCGGCCAUGAAUCUGGUCACGGGACAUUGUUAGGUGGGCAGUUUGACUGGGGCGGUCGCCUCCUAAAAAGUAACGGAGGCGCCCAAAGGUUCCCUCAGAACGGUUGGAAAUCGUUCGUAGAGUGCAAAGGCAGAAGGGAGCCUGACUGCGACACAUACAAGUGGAGCAGGGACGAAAGUCGGGCUUAGUGAUCCGGUGGUUCCUCGUGGGAGGGCCAUCGCUCAACGGAUAAAAGCUACCUCGGGGAUAACAGGCUGAUCUCCCCCAAGAGUCCACAUCGACGGGGAGGUUUGGCACCUCGAUGUCGGCUCGUCGCAUCCUGGGGCUGAAGUAGGUCCCAAGGGUUGGGCUGUUCGCCCAUUAAAGCGGCACGCGAGCUGGGUUCAGAACGUCGUGAGACAGUUCGGUCCCUAUCCGUCGCGGGCGUAGGAAAUUUGAGAGGAGCUGUCCUUAGUACGAGAGGACCGGGAUGGACUGACCUCUGGUGCACCAGUUGUUCCGCCAGGAGCACAGCUGGGUAGCUAUGUCGGGACGGGAUAAACGCUGAAAGCAUCUAAGCGUGAAGCCCACCUCAAGAUUAGAUUUCCCAUAGCGUAAGCUAGUAAGACCCCUUGAAGAACACAAGGUUGAUAGGUCAGAGGUGUAAGCAUGGUAACAUGUUCAGCUGACUGAUACUAAUAGGUCGAGGGCUUGACCAA